RNAcentral lists this ribosomal RNA (341 nucleotides) under Leptomorphus sevciki. RNAcentral describes it as "partial 16S ribosomal RNA". Lineage: Eukaryota; Metazoa; Arthropoda; Insecta; Diptera; Mycetophilidae. The record is from RNAcentral.
UUUUUUAAUUGAAAACUUGUAUGAAGGGUUGAACGAAAUGUAAGCUGUAUCAAAAAAAUUAUUAUAGAAAUUAACUUUUUAGUAAAAAGGCUAAAAUAAAAUUUAAAGACGAGAAGACCCUAUAGAGUUUAAUAAUAAAUUUAAUAAUAUUUAUUUAUAUAAUUUUAAAUUUUAUAAUUUUUAUUAUUUUAUUGGGGUGAUAGUAAAAUUUAUAAAACUUUUAUUUUUUAAUUACAUUGAUUUAUGAAUUAUUGAUCCAGUUUUAUUGAUUAAAAGAUUAAAUUACCUUAGGGAUAACAGCGUAAUUUUUUUGUAGAGUUCUUAUCGAUAAAAAAUUUUGC